Molecule: long non-coding RNA, 7594 nt
Organism: Prinia subflava (tawny-flanked prinia)
Lineage: Eukaryota; Metazoa; Chordata; Aves; Passeriformes; Cisticolidae
Exons: 4
Source: RefSeq, a predicted model, not a curated record
GUGUUAUUUGCUUUUGCCACUAGAUGGUGAAGUAAGGAGUAAGGGAAAACACGGGAAGUCUCGCUGUGUUCCCCGGCGGCCUUCCCUCCCUGUGAAACCACGCUGACGUGCUCUGCUUUCUGGGAACCCGGCAAUUUCAGGCAAUUAUUCCCUGGGCAUUUCAUCCAGCUCAGCCUUCAAGAACUGCUGCUGCCACCCUGACUCUUUGAUCUUCUUAACUCCAGUGCUGCCACCCUGCACUGAUGUAGACGUGGCAAGCUGUGUUAGUGAUGGCAAACCUGCCUGAUGCAGGGAUGUACAGAAAGCUGUCUGCUCUGGUUUUUGAAGAGGGUGUAUGAUCUGCUCCCCUCCCCACGAGGACCUGAGCAUGCUGUGAGACCCACACCCCGGCAGGUGGGAAUUGCAAUCCCUGCGUGGCUGCUCUCUGUUGUGCCAUCUCUUGUGAGAGCUGUUUGUUCACUGGAAGCUUUGCUCUGGCUGUGCUGGAGGAGUUUGCUGGGGAUGGGUGAUGGACCGGAGAGUUACAGCUCACCUGGGGCACUGCUGCCUGCGCAGGAGGGAUUGAAUGGAUGGUGAUGACGGCAGCUCCUGCCCCAGAGGAGCGAAGUAGAUGGUGGAGAACGGGGAGGGAAAGGGCAGGUGCACACGUUUGGGCACUGGGGAGUGGAACUUGAAGGAAUGAGUUACUCCUCAGCUGAGUAACUGAAUGCCAGUGUCUCCCAGCUGGGAAAUUAAAUGCUUUAAAGGGAUGCAGUCUCAAUUUGGUCUUAAACAUAGGCUGACUGCUCAGGACUCUGCUUGUUGGGCUGCAGAAACUUUAUUGCUUUCAUUUAGGGAAGGUUAUAAAGUGCCCAACCUUCCUGCUCUCUGAACACCGGCCUGUGUGCCACUCUGCAUGCCCAGCAUGGCCUGCUUUUCAUAGAAUCAUAGAAUGGUUUGGGUUGGAAGGGAGUUUAAAGGAUAUCUAGUCCAAUCCAACUCCCCUGCAAUGAGCAGGGACAUCUUCAGCUAGAUCAGGUUGCUCAGUGCCCCCCAACCUGACCAUGAACAGUUUUAGGAAUGGGGCAUCCACCACCCCUCGGGGCGAGCUGUUGCAGUGCAGGCUUGGAGAACCAUUCCCUGUGGGACUGGCUGGAACACUGACCUGCUUGCCCUGGUUCCAGGAGUGUGGCUGUGCUUCUGGCUGGGUUAUUUCUUGCUGGGCGUUGCUGCUGAGGGGGGUCUUUGCACGGGAGCAGAUCAGGGAGUGCCCACAGAAGCCAGGCUGUGUGUGGGCAACCUCCAGGCAGGAAUGGGGCCAGAGGCUGGGGAGUAUCACCCACCCUAGGGCUGGAAGGAUUUGGCUGUGUUUUCACUGUGUUUUCUAUGAGGUUCUUAGGUAUGGAAAAGCCCACUGUAGUCUGGUACAGGGUUUUAUGAGAGGCAAUGAGUCAGUCCCCUGAGCGAGAUGGUGAGCAGUAUGGAAGGUCUCUGUGGUAUAUUAGCAGUGCUCCAUAGACGGUUUGGUUUAUUUAUUUUUUACUGUGUUUCCACUGUUCCUGGCUAAUUUCAGUGGGAUCUAUCUUGUGGGCUGGCAUGCUGGGAGCCUGGGGAGGCAAUGGAGCUGCUCCCCAGCACUGAGGGAUGGCCCCCUGGUGUUUAGUUCUGGCCAUGGUGCAGGCUGCAGUGAGGAAGGAGCAGUCCCAAUCAGGGAGCUGAAUAAAGAAAACAACACUUCACAAAAACACACUCAUCCUGUGCUUGGCACAGAGGUACCUGUGUGUGUGUAUUUGUGGAUGCUGCAGAGAGAAAAUGCACAUUUCACUCUCCCUCUCCCGUAGGCAUUGAAGUGCCUGAGGGGCACAAGCCAGUAACACGCAGACAGCCAGGGAGGUUUCUUGUGCAUUGCUCCUCCUGCAGUGCUGAAAUGAGCCUUUUAUGUUCCAGAGGCCACCGUGACACCAGGCAGGAGCAAGGGGGAAAAUACUGAAUAAACCUUGCAUGAGCACAAUCCCUAAGCCAGCCUCACCCCUGACUCUGCCACGCUAUAAUCUGCAGCGUGGAAAUGUUUCUCUUGGCUGUUGGUUUAGGGCUGUGCAAUCAAAUCUGGUAGUUAAAAUCCUGCUAAACAGGGCAGGCAACCUGAACAGCAGAGGAAAGGCAAGCAGAGCUUUCAAGUUGUUUGCAAAAAAAGCCACCUGAGGAGCAGGUGGUCAUACAGCAUCCAUCCUGUGCUGUUUUGAGCCAGCUGUCUGCAGAUGGGGGGAGUGAAGACCUGCCACUGUAGGUAAUAUUCAGUGUGUCUCCUUUCCUUCCCCUCUGAACAUCUGAUACCAUGGCAGCAUCCCUGCUCACAGGUGGAUUAGGUGCUAGCACAGACCACUGCUACAGCUAUCCAUUUCCUACUGAUUUAUUCAAAUAACUUAGAAAAGUACAUCCAGCAGCUGAGUUCAGAAAAACUCUGUUGAAAAACAUGCCUGGCUCUGCAGGAGCUAUUGCUGUGAGAUCUGUGAAAAGAGCAAAACCCAAACUCUCACGUGCAGCAGAGAUGGGGAAUGGAAGGGCUGUGGGUCUGAUUGUGUGUAGGAGGAAAAGUGCCUGGGGUCUCAAAGCAGCUGAACAGUUUUUUAAUUCCAUUUAGAAUAGAAGGAAAAUAGGAAUCACAACAUUAGAAACAUCUGCCUGGAAAUGGAUGGUGUGCUUGCUUUAUUACUUUGCAGUGGCAACAUCAUAAACCCAGCAAAGCCAGGUUUGCCUGCAGAAUGUCUGUGCCUCUUCCCUGAUAGCUCCUACACUGCCUCUCCUCCUGGGGUUAACACAGUAAAAGGGAAAACCAUUUUUUUUGUGUGUGUGUGAGACUUGGGUGCAUCUCUGCUGGCUUGUCCUGGACCUGCAGGAAAACUGACCAAGCUGAAGCUGCUGUGAGGGGCUGCUCAGGCAUUAGCCCACAGGGUGUCACAAGCCAUGGGACUUCAGUGCCUUACUCCCAAGGGUAACUGAACACUUGGUAAGGCAAAUCCUCCUGAAAGACACCCUGCUUUGAUACAUUCAGAUAAGCCCAGUAGCAUGAUCAAAAUACACAGCUACAAAAAGGGCUUCCUGCCAUGGAUAUGCAAAUAUUGAGAUCAGUGCAAAUCACAGACCUCAUACAAAGCAAACUGUGACUGCUGUUUACCUCCGGGUGCACAGCACCCACAGCUACAAGGCUUCCCUCUUUUAUGCUUGUGUCAAGUUGCUCUUGAAAGCUUCUGCUGAAAAAUAAUUUCUGCAUCUUUUCCAAUGGUUGCCCCUUUCAUGUGGUCCCCCCAGGAGUCUGUGCUGCCAUGCCUUGACCUAAUCUCAGGUUUGUCCAGUUUCUUUAGGCCUGAACAAGACUGUCAAAAAAACAAGCCUCGGUCCUUCACCAGUAUUUUUUAAAUUUUCCCCUGCCAGAAUCUCACUGCUUUUCUGGAAAUAAACAAUUCCUGGGGCUGCUUGCUCAAAACACACAAUUUGCAGCCUUAUUACCAUAGCGAUCCUUUCCAGAGAUUCUCUCUCCAUGUGUGGAUGCUUCGUGCUGUGAAGACUGCAGGAACGUUUCACAGCUCCUUCUCCCCAAGAGGCAACAGGGGAGGGUGGUCCCAGUUCCCCGCAAUGGAGACAAUGCUGGAAGCGAUGCUGGAGUGGAAGAGAUGUGUAAACAUGUACAGCAUGCCUAAUUAAUGACCCGAAACCGGCCGUAAAGGUCAGCUUGUUUGCGGGGGCUGCAUGAAUGCGGACUUGGAAAGGGCACUGCUGCCUCCCGGGAUGGCAGCUGGACAAGGGCACCCACCACAGGAGACCUCACUCCUCAGGGUGCACCCAGGCCAGCCCCCCUUCCCUGGCCACCCCGAUUCCUCCUGGGGUUCUGCUGAGAGUGCACCAGGCCAGCCCCCCUUCCCUGGCCAGCCCGAUUCCUCGUGGGGCUCUGCCGAGAAACCAGGCUGCAUUCUGGGGAAGGGGCAGGCUCCUGCAGGUCUUUGGAGUGGGAUGUGCAGAGAACAGGCUGUUUUCUGGGCUGUCUGUCAGGCAUUUGUUGACUGAAUUUGAUCUGCAGAGUCUUGUUACUCAUAUUAACGCUGUCAGCAGCACGCAUGCAAAAAUUGAGUGUCUGGAUGCAAAUGCCAGGGAAUUGAUAUAAAAAUGUUCUUUUCCAGCUGUUUUUUGUCCCUGUGAAACUUUUCUCUAUAGUCUUCCAGGGGCUAAAAAUUCGAGUUUCUUGCCUAAUCUCAGGACUCUGGGAGUUAAGGCUUUAUGAAUAUUACAAAUUAUCGUCAAGCAAAUUAUCAUCAUCAAGACUUGUAAAGAUGGCUGUCCUGUAGGACAAGGUGUGCCACGGGUUGUCAUGUGAGAUCUGCAGGGUGUUUGCCAGCCCUUGCAAUUUCCGACCAGCCUUCAUCUCAACAAUUGGGCAGAGCCAUGAGAUAACCUGCAGAGAAAAUCAAGGGGAGCCCUAGCAUUACUGGGUCACUUUGCAGACAGCGCUGAGCACUUCUGGUGUCAAUAAAAUCACAGAGAUGUCACACGCACAACAAUGGUGGCAAUGAGAGGUAAGUGCCUUUGAUGAGGCAGGUUUUCUCCCUCUCUGAGAUUAACACAAUGCCAUCCCAGCUGUUCCCCACUCUCUUUCUAGUGGUGUUUCUGGGACAAACCCUUUUCUUCAGGCCUUUGGUCUCAUGUUCCCCUCGAGCUCUUUGUCCCAGCAAACUGAACUGAUCAAAGCUGCUUUUUCCAUGCAGUGGAUCAGGAGCAACUUGUUGGCUGUGUUUAGCUUCAGGCAGACUGAGGGUGUCUAGCUACAAAGAGAGACAGAAAAUCAAGGCAGUUGGUCACGCUUUGUCAUUUACAUCGGCAUUCUGUGUUGGGGAAUGCAGACAGCGUGGCAGGAAGGCAGAGAAUUUCCAGAAAGGCACCAGCCCAGGCCUGAGCAAAGCCUCUCACACAGUCCCUGGUGGCCUUAGUGAAGGUGAGGUGUUAGAACUGGGAUCAAACUGGGAUGAAACAGAAGGGGUUGAUUGUGCAGGCAGGGCACAACCUGCACCCUUCCCUGCCUGGGUCCUUCCACCCAAGGAGUGACCAAGGAGGCUUCUGACAAGAGUGGUGAAGACUCCUUAUCUGAGGAAGACCCUCUGCCAGGCAGAGCAAGGCAUUCCACAGAGCACAGCAGUCCCCUGCAAACAGCAGAAGGCAGGAGGUGUUCACAAAGUCCAGCACAUCCUUGACCUCUCACCUGGCCUUGCCACAGACUUGGAUGACUUAGUCCUCUCAUCCUUGCAGUGAAGUCUGUGGUUGUACAUCACAUUUACUCUCAGACAGAGAUCUUUUCUGUGGGAAUGUCAGUCAUCUUGGGUUCAGUUUACAGGUUUUAAGGUACUCUCUGCAUUUUGCCCUUUUCCCAGACACACCAGUGCAGUGGGCCCUGCACUCGCUUGCUCAGGCAAUGGGAUCCCCCCUCAUUUUCCCUGCCUCAGCCCUGUGCCAGUCCCAGAGGCUGUGCUCUCUGGCUCCCAGACCCUGUCUUUCCCAUCCCUGUUCCCUCUCUUGGGCGUCACUGCUCCUGGGCCUGGCUUAUAACACGGUGUGUGGCACAGGGAUGAAGAUGACAGGCCUUCCUCCCUGAAGGCUUUCCUCUCGCAGAGGAAAUCGGUUCACUGGCCCGAGCAUUCAGCACAGCAACUGAGAGCAGCCUGAAUCUGGAGCACAGAGUGAGCAUCACUAGAACCAUCUGAAAACGAGGGAAAAGAGGCUGUGAGUGAGAGGAUCAGGGCUGGAGGACGUGUGCUCUGCAGAUGUAACUACAGAUCAAAAAGUGCACAGAAGUGCUGAAAUACAAUCCCUGUCUCACCAAAUUUACAGGCUAACAUUAUCCUCAGAUGGGAGAUGCCUGGAGCAAACUGUUUCUCCUGGACUGCAGCUCAUGAACUCACCUACAAUCUGAUUCAAGUUAUUAAAGGGACUCACUAAUACCAGGACUAAUCUGAAGCUACUGUACAAGGAAUACAUUCUGGAACCUCUGACAAUAGACUGACUGUGACACUGGUCUCAGCUGGUGUGGCAUCCAGGCUUGGUAGUGUGUGGUAGAGCUGCACCCCUGUGCAUUAUCCUAUCCUCAGAUAAGGACUGGCUUGUCCUUACUUAAAUUGUCCCAGAAGAAAGGAAAGCUGGUGCACUGAGCUCUUAUGGGUCAGUGCAACGAACAUUCAUGAAUUUUAGAAAAGACUUUCACGAGACCAGAAGCAUUGGGAAGGAGAGAAGCACAAAGCAGAACACUGACUUGCUGCUGCCUAAAAAGCUGAAAGGAGAGGAGAAGAAAUACCACAAAUAGAGCAAGCCUCCUUUGCCAGGCAGCAGGGCAUCACAGCAGCAGACAGCACAACUUUCCUCCAAAGACAUAAAAAUGAGCAUGACGAAUGCAGGAGAUAAAGGACCACAGAGUAAUGCUGGUAGAGCCUAUUCCACCCUUGGGCAAGGGCAAAGACUAUGUUUGGUCAUGAAAUGUGGAGACGUCACCACAUUCCAAGCGCUGAGUGCGAUUACGGAUGCAGUAGAUCUCUUGCUAGGAUGUGCGCAUGGGGAAAUGUUUCCCAGAGAUGGAGCAAUUUUGAUGUAAAAAUUCUUUCUUGUCUCAUGGAUUGUGCCAAGGAAAACAGCACUGGGGCAAGGCAAUCUCACAGCAGGAAGAAGUGAGUCCAUGAAUGAGUCCACUGCAGCACCAUAAUGGGCAGGAAUGUGUGCUGGCCCUUUGCAUGCGGGAGAACUGGAGAAGGCUUUGGGCAGAGCCCUGCCCUGUGGCUGGUUGGUGUUGAUCCCAUCCCAAAAUAGAAGAUGGGGAAAGCAGUGAUGGUCUGCCAGGCUUGGCAGUACUGGCAGAGAGAAGGGAAAGGAAGGGAGGGUGGAGUGACCAAAGGAGGCGAGGAAUCGUGUAAGUAAAAUACCUUUUAAAGAAAAUUUUACAUCAAUCCCUCUGUUACUGAACCAAGACAGUCUCAAGUGAGAAGUCAUUAGAGUUCAUUACCCCUGGCAACCCAUGGCCAUUAAUUCUCUCUGGCAGCAAUAGCUAAGGUUGGAGGAAUAUCCAGGCUAUGGCUCUGAGUGCUGGAAUGCAGAGACACGAUAGGUCACAAAUACUUUCCUCAUAGAUGUCAAGGAAGUUGGAGAAGAUAAAAAUGGUGCCAUGGGGAAAGGAACAGUUAAGUGAGUAAUGGGAACCACAAAUCAUUGACAAGUAUUACUUCUGGCACCAAAGUUCAGUGAUCCACAGGAAGAAACACCUCUUCUGAGGAAGACAGACAUGCCCCAUCUAUUGUUUCAUGUCUCUUUACUCUUCCUAUGUUGUCACAUGAUUUCUCUGUCAUAAAGCUCCAUAUUAGCUUGGUCCUUAAAUGGUCCAAUCUAACUCAACACUCCUUCCUAUACUGAAACAGUCUGAGAAUUGCUGAGUCUUGUUUAAACCAAAAACUCUAAACUUUUCCUCAUUAGUGCAAAAGAGGAUGGUGGUUCUAGGUAACAGCCUGGAAAGGGGAUUUCUCACCAAGUUUUCUCUGUCUUUGCUUUCAGGACCAUUCUGGCUGUCUUCCUGUAACAAAUAAAUAUCUUG